This is an RNA transcript of Hypomesus transpacificus, 850 nucleotides long. It is a transcript of the gene named T cell leukemia translocation altered, with no coding region annotated. The record is from RefSeq and is a predicted model, not a curated record. The transcript is spliced from 3 exons. Lineage: Eukaryota; Metazoa; Chordata; Actinopteri; Osmeriformes; Osmeridae.
AUCCGGCUUUCCUAUUCCUAAACGUUUUGUACUUGAGUUCGAGAGGCAACAGAGAAAUGACGAGUUCGUUGGAACGUUAGGUGUUAUCGGUAUUUUAAACAAUAAAAUUAGCUCGACAGUUUGAAAAAUAAAAUACAUUCGCUAGCUAUGUGUUGAUAAAUAGAUGGUAUAAUUCUAAAAUGGAAGAACCGUGGGAUUUCGAGUUUUUAUCACGUAUUGGGGAUGGGUUUGUUUCGUUUCUGUCCGAAUUUGUUGACGAUUGGCUUGCGAAAGAUAUGAGAGUGUAUGUAUUCAAAAUCUUAAUUAGCUGGCUGAUAAUUAGUUUAAUCGCAAUCCACUUUGCCUGGAAAAUUUAUGGAAACACAGUAAAUGAUAUGUAUUAUCGUCAAGGAACAAGUGGACAGAAUGGAGGCACACCUGACACUGCACCUAACCUGAGCGGAUGGUAGGUGUUCGAGCAUCCAUAUGGACAUGUGUGUUACAGGGAGAGCGCAGCUGGAGACACACUCAAGACACACCGUGAGUGACCGCCAGGACUUGUUGGUGGAAUAAUCACAUGAACUGGCUCUUUGUUCAGCGAACAUGACUUUAAAUGAAGUGGAUUGAAUUGCAAAUGGGAAUGCUCCCUUUUAAAGUGACUGGAGUUGCUUGAAAAUCCUUCAUCCUCGCAGUUUCUUAACAUCAGAAGGCUGCCACUUGGCUGUGAGAAAGAAGAAGUAACAAACCAACCCCAUCGUACAUUAAUAUUACAAAGAAUAUGCUGAGUGGUGAUACACUAAUACUGUUUUAUCAAAAUGGUCCAGAAAUAAACAAGUUCAACUCGAAAAUCACUCACCAGACAAUGUUAAAA